AGUUCAACCGAUUAUAUUAUUGGUCGACUAUUCUUUAUAACGUUGUUAAUUCAAAAGCUUAAAAUAGAAUUAAAAAUACUCAUCUUUUCUUCUGUGUAGAAUUUUCUUUUAAAUCUUACAGCUUUGGUCAAGCUCCGUGUAAGGUUUGAAUCCAAAUGACCAAACUACACGAGGUAAAUUGCACGGACUAACAUUUCGCGGGCUAAACUAAUUAGCAUAUAAAAGUGACCAGUAAAAAAUGAAUCAAACACACCGGC
This 257-nucleotide long non-coding RNA is filed under the name Mytilus galloprovincialis (Mediterranean mussel). Lineage: Eukaryota; Metazoa; Mollusca; Bivalvia; Mytilida; Mytilidae. The record is from RNAcentral.